GCGCCAGACUCCUACGGGAGGCAGCAGUGGGGAAUAUUGCACAAUGGGGGAAACCCUGAUGCAGCGACGCCGCGUGAGUGAAGAAGUAUUUCGGUAUGUAAAGCUCUAUCAGCAGGGAAGAAAUAGCGACCUUUGGGUCGCCAGACGGUACCUGAUUAAGAAGCCCCGGCUAACUACGUGCCAGCAGCCGCGGUAAUACGUAGGGGGCAAGCGUUAUCCGGAUUUACUGGGUGUAAAGGGAGCGUAGACGGUGCAGCAAGUCUGAUGUGAAAGCCCGGGGCUCAACCCCGGGACUGCAUUUGGAACUGUGCUGCUAGAGUGUCGGAGAGGCAGGCGGAAUUCCUAGUGUAGCGGUGAAAUGCGUAGAUAUUAGGAGGAACACCAGUGGCGAAGGCGGCCUGCUGGACGAUGACUGACGUUGAGGCUCGAAAGCGUGGGGAGCAAACAGGAUUAGAUACCCCCGUACU
RNAcentral lists this ribosomal RNA (467 nucleotides) under uncultured bacterium. RNAcentral describes it as "bacterial SSU rRNA". It matches the Rfam family "Bacterial small subunit ribosomal RNA", at positions 328 to 794 of the family's 1533-position model. The record is from RNAcentral.